UGCCAGCAGCCGCGGUAAUACGGAGGGGGCUAGCGUUGUUCGGAAUUACUGGGCGUAAAGCGCACGUAGGCGGACUGGAAAGUUGGGGGUGAAAUCCCGGGGCUCAACCCCGGAACUGCCUCCAAAACUCCUAGUCUUGAGGUCAAGAGAGGCGAGUGGAAUACCGAGUGUAGAGGUGAAAUUCGUAGAUAUUCGGUGGAGCACCAGUGGCGAAGGCGACUCGCUGGCUUGAUACUGACGCUGAGGUGCGAAAGUGUGGGGAGCAAACAGGAUUAGAUA
This 279-nucleotide ribosomal RNA is filed under the name uncultured bacterium. Its description in RNAcentral is "partial 16S ribosomal RNA". It matches the Rfam family "Bacterial small subunit ribosomal RNA", at positions 506 to 784 of the family's 1533-position model. The record is from RNAcentral.